RNAcentral lists this transfer RNA (72 nucleotides) under Acanthamoeba castellanii str. Neff. It matches the Rfam family "tRNA". From Rfam's summary of the family: Transfer RNA (tRNA) molecules are approximately 80 nucleotides in length. Their secondary structure includes four short double-helical elements and three loops (D, anti-codon, and T loops). The record is from Rfam by way of RNAcentral. Lineage: Eukaryota; Discosea; Longamoebia; Acanthamoebidae.
GGGGUGUUGGUGUAAUGGGUAGCACACAGGCCUAUCAAGCCUGAGGCGCGGGUUCGAUUCCUGCAUACCCCU